GACGAACGCUGGCGGCGUGCUUAACACAUGCAAGUCGAGCGGAGCGGCGAACGGGUGAGUAACGCGUGAGUAACUGCCCCCCUCUCUGGGAUAACAGUUGGAAACGGCUGCUAAUCCCGGAUAGUGGGGGUUGACUCGCGUCCUAUCAGCUUGUUGGUGGGGUAGUGGCCUACCACGGCGACGACGGGUAGCCGGCCUGAGAGGGCGACCGGCCACAUUGGGCUGAGAUACGGACCAAAGUCCUACGUGAGGCAGCAGUGGGGAAUAGUGCACUAUGGGGGAAACCAUGAUGAAGCAACGCGCGUGCGGGAGGACGGCCUUCGGGUUGUAAACCGCUUUCAGCCAUGAUGGGGGAGUGGCAGAAGAAGCACCGGCUAACUACGUGCCAGCAGCCGCGGUAAUUC
Molecule: ribosomal RNA, 404 nt
Filed under: uncultured bacterium
Lineage: Bacteria
Description: partial 16S ribosomal RNA
Rfam family: Bacterial small subunit ribosomal RNA
Source: RNAcentral